AAGAGAGAGAGAGUGCUGCGAAAACAGAAUGUAGGGUUGGUGUUGGCGGGAAUGGGGGGUGAUGGGUUUCAAAAUUAUUGUUUGGUGGUCAUAGUGAAGUAUGCCAAUUUGGUAAUAGCAGCGGGCAAUGGUGGUUUCAGAUGCCAAUUUGGUACUGUAUGUGGAGGAGCAAUUCAAUCCAAGUCCAAGGAAUCUCUGAUCGGAGUAAGGAAUAUUCCGGCGAGCUAGGUCAGCAGCACCAACGAAGAUCUGCUUCCACACGCAUCUUUGCCAAUCUCAAUCAACUAUACAAAGCUCAAAGGAAUAUCAUUUUGUGUGCGGCAACAAUUCUUCUAUAUUGGUCUGUGUACCGCAUCUGUAAGUUUUACAAGGAGAUUCAGAGCUUAGAGGCAGCACAGAAGAGAGACUCCAAAACCUGUGGUGAAGAAAGAUUCAAAUGGUAAAUCAGAAUCUGAUUUGAAUAGGUUUUGCUUUAGUUAUGACGAAAGAUGCUGGGGAUGCAAUUACUAUUGCUGCAAUCCCUUGCUGGCUCUACAUUUUAAAGCAGUCAGCUUCUUUGUAUGGGUUUUGGGUGUAACUGAUGCUAGAUUGCUAUAACUGAGAAAAAAAGCACAAAUCCAAGGUUUGCUGAUUUGAUUAGAAGUAAGAGGAAACCUAAAAGAAUAACCUUUAAAGGCUGAUACAGAGUUGAAAGAAGAAGUAAAACACCUCAAAAGCAUGCUCAAACAACAAGCUAUUCAAAUGGCAGAACAAAGAAGACAUUUCGAGGAACAACAAGCUAGUCAAAUGGCAGAACAAACACAUUAUGACAAUAUGAUGAUGCAAAUGUUGAGUUAUAUCAUCUCACAAUCAGCUCAAUCUAGUAGUUAUCACUAAGAUAUGAAGAUCAACUCAAGCUAGUCACUUGUGGGGUGUGUUUGAAUUGGAUUAAUCUGUGAAUGUUUGUGUGUUUUUGAUGUUUUGUUAGUCCCUUAGGUGUAAUCUAUCAAGCAUGAGCAAUGAACCUGAUUGGGUUAUGUAGACUCGGAAAUUAUUCUUUGGGUGAAAGUUCUACUAAUUUUAGUUACUCAAAACAUGGCUGUAUGUGAUGAGAGAUUCUAUGUGACAUAAACACCUCAGACAUUUCAGAUUACUGCAUGCUGUCUCUUGUUCUUUGUCUAAUAUGUCUUUCUACUUAAUCCUUGGCUGAACAAUUCUGCAUUCCAAA
Quercus robur (English oak) is the source of this 1207-nucleotide RNA transcript. RefSeq lists it as uncharacterized. The transcript is spliced from 7 exons. NCBI's taxonomy places the organism in Eukaryota, Viridiplantae, Streptophyta, Magnoliopsida, Fagales, Fagaceae. The record is from RefSeq and is a predicted model, not a curated record.